RNAcentral lists this unclassified non-coding RNA (457 nucleotides) under Hevea brasiliensis (rubber tree). The record is from RNAcentral. Lineage: Eukaryota; Viridiplantae; Streptophyta; Magnoliopsida; Malpighiales; Euphorbiaceae.
AAAAAAAAAAAAGAAAAAAAAGACGACCUAUCGACAAGGGAAGAAUGAAGAACUUGAGCCAAAAUUUGUCUAUUGGCGGGGAGACCUGUGGGAUUGUAUGAAUGUAUGUGAUUGUUCAAGAAAUCUUGAGUUUUAGAGUAUAAAGAUGCCUAGUCAAAUGGUUGGGGAAUGUGAUUAUGAUUUGGAAUGAUUAAGAAAUUUCUACAUAUGUGUCGGUUGUAGAAAGGAAGAGUAAUUAAUUAUGGUUUGGAGAAUAAUGAUAUAAUUAAUUGGAUUGAGACCAAGAUAGUUUUCAACUUUUAUAUAUUUGGUUGAAUGAAUUGUAUUAAAUGCUUGGUCCUAUCGGUGAACCAUAUUGGGUAUGUUAAAUUGUUUAAUUAAUGGGUUAUAUAUUUAUUUAUGUUUGUGAAAUUAGGUCAUGCAUGUGCAUCAUAUGAAUGUGUUUUCAAAUAAUAUA